Molecule: long non-coding RNA, 994 nt
Filed under: Numida meleagris (helmeted guineafowl)
Lineage: Eukaryota; Metazoa; Chordata; Aves; Galliformes; Numididae
Description: lncRNA (ENSNMEG00000012482.1)
Source: RNAcentral
AAAGCAGGGGCUCUGCAGACGCAACAGAUGCAUCAUGGGCUGCAUCACAGCCUCUCGCUGUGGGUAACUCUCCGCUGGCCACAGAAACACCACAGGACGUGUCCGAGGGUUGCAAUGUAAACCUGUGAUCAUCCGCACCCAGCUCACAGCAAAGCAGGUGCCGGGAGGAGAGGUCUCCAGAAGAUGUGGGGGCAGGCGGGAUGGGCCAUGGUGUGUCCUCGUGUCCCUGCCCUCCUGCUGCUGGUGCUCGGUACUCUCGAGGCUCCAGUCCUGUUCCUUAACACUUCCAGAGCUCAGGAAGGAGAAAUUGUUCUGGCUCAGUGUGUCCUUCGGAGGAUGGUUCCUGCUACCCGAAUUGUCUUCUGCAAGGAUGGAAUCGAAGAGUACAUCGUGAAAGCCCAAGAGGGCAAGGUUAUCUACUCGAUGCUGCUGAACAUCUCUGCAAGAAGCAGUGGGAUUUACACAUGUGGGUACCAGCACAGGAAUGUGAGCAAUGUGCUGUGGAGCUCUGCCCUCAGUGCUUCCCAGGACCUGAAGGUCACAGGCCGUGUGUCCAGCUCCACAAAAGGGACAGCACCCGCAGGUGAGGGUCUCCCCUUUAUUCCUGCUGACCCCAUCCCUUCCCGUUCUCCCCAUCCCUCACCUCUGUCCCCAUCCCAUUAUAACGUCCCCAUCACUCCUCAAUGUCUGCAUGACUCCCCUCAGUCCCCAUCACGUACCAAAGCCCCAUUCCCUCUCCUUCGUCCCCAUCUAUCCAAUUUGUCUCCAGACCCAUGCACUCCGUUGGGCCCCACAUGCAUCGCAGUGGCAUCUGUGGCAGUCACCCUCCUCCUGCCUACAGUCACCUACUGGAUCAUCAAGAAAGGUAACAAAUUGUGGGAACUGUGAAGGAUCCACGAGGCUGUCACAAACCUGAUGUGGGACAAUUCUUCUUGCAGGUGCCUGCAGGGAGAGAUGCCGAAGGUGAGCAGUAAGGGGCUGGGCUGAGCAGGGG